UACGUAGGGUGCAAGCGUUAAUCGGAAUUACUGGGCGUAAAGCGUGCGCAGGCGGUUUUGUAAGUCUUACGUGAAAUCCCCGGGCUCAACCUGGGAAUUGCGUUGGAGACUGCAAGGCUGGAGUCUGGCAGAGGGGGGUAGAAUUCCACGUGUAGCAGUGAAAUGCGUAGAGAUGUGGAGGAACACCGAUGGCGAAGGCAGCCCCCUGGGUCAAGACUGACGCUCAUGCACGAAAGCGUGGGGAGCAAACAGG
RNAcentral lists this ribosomal RNA (253 nucleotides) under uncultured bacterium. RNAcentral's name for it is "partial 16S ribosomal RNA". It matches the Rfam family "Bacterial small subunit ribosomal RNA", at positions 524 to 776 of the family's 1533-position model. The record is from RNAcentral.